Xyrauchen texanus (razorback sucker) is the source of this 186-nucleotide long non-coding RNA. RefSeq lists it as uncharacterized. Lineage: Eukaryota; Metazoa; Chordata; Actinopteri; Cypriniformes; Catostomidae. The transcript is spliced from 3 exons. The record is from RefSeq and is a predicted model, not a curated record.
GUAUUUCUUUGUAGGCUCAAGUGUGUGGUUGUAAGAUCAUCUAGAAAUCAUUUUAGGAGUUCAGAUAUUGGACUUCAAAGAAUGCUACAGAGAGUCAGCUUUUCACCAUCUGACAGUUGCCAAUAGGAACCAAAAGAUGGCUGCUGCCCAGAAGCAUGUGCUGCGUGUGUAUGUUGCACGAGACAC